GACGAACGCUGGAGGCGUGCUUAACACAUGCAAGUCGAACGAUGAAAUGGAGCUUGCUCCAUGGAUUAGUGGCGAACGGGUGAGUAACACGUGAAUAACCUGCCCUUAAUUUUGGGAUAACCCAGGGAAACCUGGGCUAAUACCGGAUAAGUAAACCUGUGGCAUCACAUGGUUUUGGAAAGUCUUUCGAUUAAGGAUGGAUUCGCGGCCUAUUAGCUUGUUGGUGAGGUAUUGGCUCACCAAGGCGACGACGGGUAGCCGGCCUGAGAGGGUGAACGGCCACACUGGGACUGAGACACGGCCCAGACUCCUACGGGAGGCAGCAGUGGGGAAUAUUGCGCAAUGGACGAAAGUCUGACGCAGCGACGCCUCGUGAGGGACGAAGGUCUUCGGAUUGUAAACCUCUUUCAGCAGGGACGAAGCGAAAGUGACGGUACCUGCAGAAGAAGCACCGGCUGACUAUGUGCCAGCAGCCGCAGUAA
This 482-nucleotide ribosomal RNA is filed under the name uncultured bacterium. RNAcentral's name for it is "partial 16S ribosomal RNA". It matches the Rfam family "Bacterial small subunit ribosomal RNA", at positions 28 to 523 of the family's 1533-position model. The record is from RNAcentral.